GAUGAAGAACGUAGCGAAAUGCGAUACGUAAUGUGAAUUGCAAAUUCAGUGAAUCAUCGAGUCUUUGAACGCACAUUGCGCCCCCUGGUAUUCCGGGGGGCAUGCCUGUCCGAGCGUCAUUGCUGCCCUCAAGCACGGCUUGUGUGUUGGGCCCCGUCCUCCGAUCCCGGGGGACGGGCCCGAAAGGCAGCGGCGGCACCGCGUCCGGUCCUCGAGCGUAUGGGGCUUUGUCACCCGCUCUGUGGGCCCGGCCGGCGCUUGCCGAUCAACCCAAAUUUUUUAUCCAGGUUGACCUCGGAUCAGGUAGGGAUACCCGCUGAACUUAAGCAUAUCAAUAAGCGGAGGA
This 346-nucleotide unclassified non-coding RNA is filed under the name soil metagenome. Its description in RNAcentral is "partial contains 5.8S ribosomal RNA, internal transcribed spacer 2, and large subunit ribosomal RNA". The stretch from base 1 to 119 matches the Rfam family "5.8S ribosomal RNA", at positions 35 to 154 of the family's 154-position model. The record is from RNAcentral.